GGAGGUGAAUUACUUCCCUUCAAGAUAUGAUCCUUGUCGCCAUGCUGAGAAGUUCCCGAUGCCGCCUAAUGUGUUGAGCGGCAAAAGAGAAAGGUGUGUGAUUCCCAAGGAGAAUCAUAACUUUAAGCAAGCUGGAGACAGAUACCGAUCAUGGGCACCAGAUAGGCAAGAGCGGUUCGUAAGACGGUUUGUGGAAGCGUUAUCGGACCCCCGCGUCACACACGAGGUUCGCAACAUAUGGAUCUCGUAUUGGACUCAGGCUGACAGGUCAUUGGGCCAAAAGAUAGCGUCUCGUGUGAAUGUGAGGCCAAACAUCUAAGAAACGCCUAACAUAAUGGCCAUUGCAUGGUCAUUAUUCCUUUCCAUUUCCACGAAGCUUCAGAAUGUGUAAUGUUAAUAUGUAAGAAUUGAAGGGCAUAUCUGCAAAAACUAGAAUCUUGGAGGAGGAAAUCAUCAAAUGCAUCUGUAAAACUAAAGAUCUUGUUUUAAUUUGGUACGAGUCGUCCAACUUUGUUGUUGUCUUUGCAUGGGGGCUGCCAAAUUGGGUGUGUUUUAUCCUUUUGAGUCCCCCUUUUGGUUGCUUUGUUCUUAAGAAUAAAAAUGGGUUUUUUCUUUUUCUUUUUUCUUUUCUCUCUAUUUCUUCUUGGUGUUGGUUGGGAAGAUGAUGAGAGAUAGCACGUGUAAUGCUUCUUUGCAUUCCACUUUC
Molecule: unclassified non-coding RNA, 706 nt
Filed under: Hevea brasiliensis (rubber tree)
Lineage: Eukaryota; Viridiplantae; Streptophyta; Magnoliopsida; Malpighiales; Euphorbiaceae
Source: RNAcentral